This 492-nucleotide ribosomal RNA is filed under the name uncultured bacterium. RNAcentral's name for it is "partial 16S ribosomal RNA". It matches the Rfam family "Bacterial small subunit ribosomal RNA", at positions 30 to 507 of the family's 1533-position model. The record is from RNAcentral.
AUUGAACGCUGGCGGCAGGCCUAACACAUGCAAGUCGAACGGCAGCACAGUACUUGCUUGCUGUUUCGGGUGGCGACUGGCGGGUGAUUCCUAAGUAUAUCCCUAUCUGUUUUUUCUUGCGUCCUAACGCAGGGGCUCUUACGCCAUUACCGCUUACGACGUACGUGUGAAAUCUUCGGACCUUCCGAUCUCGGGCGAUCGUAUGACCCGAUGUCGGAUUAGCUAGUUGGCGGGGUAAAGGCCCACCAAGGCGACGCUGCGUAGCUGGUCUGAGAGGAUGAUCAGACACACUGGAACUGAGACACGGUCCAGACUCCUACGGGAGGCAGCAGUGGGGAAUAUUGGACAAUGGGCGAAAGCCUGAUCCAGCCAUGCCGCGUGUGUGAAGAAGGCCUUCGGAUUGUAAAGCACUUUUGGUGGGGAAGAAGAGCAGUAGGUUAAUACCUAGCUGUUUUGACGGUACCAAAAGAAUAAGCACCGGCUAACUUCGUG